UCCCUAAUAGCUCAGUUGGUAAAGAAUCUGCGUGCGAUGCAGGAGACCCUGGUUUGAUUCCUGGCUUGGGAA
RNAcentral lists this transfer RNA (72 nucleotides) under Bos taurus (domestic cattle). It matches the Rfam family "tRNA". From Rfam's summary of the family: Transfer RNA (tRNA) molecules are approximately 80 nucleotides in length. Lineage: Eukaryota; Metazoa; Chordata; Mammalia; Artiodactyla; Bovidae. RNAcentral also lists the same sequence under 1 other name. The record is from Rfam by way of RNAcentral.